RNAcentral lists this ribosomal RNA (264 nucleotides) under uncultured bacterium. Its description in RNAcentral is "partial 16S ribosomal RNA". It matches the Rfam family "Bacterial small subunit ribosomal RNA", at positions 793 to 1055 of the family's 1533-position model. The record is from RNAcentral.
GUCCACGCCCUAAACGAUGCUCACUAGGUGUUGGGGAAGCGAUUCCUUGGUACCGAAGCUAACGCGUGAAGUGAGCCGCCUGGGGAGUACGGCCGCAAGGUUAAAACUCAAAGGAAUUGACGGGGACCCGCACAAGCGGUGGAUGAUGUGGAUUAAUUCGAUGCAACGCGAACAACCUUACCUACCCUUGACAUGUCUGGAAGCCUGCUGAGAGGCGGGUGUGCCUGAAAGGGAACCGGAACACAGGUGCUGCAUGGCUGUCGU